AUGCUGGCACUGAGGUUAUCUAAGAGUUGACAGCCCCAUCUAAAGCCUGGAAUGAAUUAAGUCUUUUUUAGCUAAAAAAUGAACAAAACCUGAGAUGCAUGAGUGUCCUUACCAAAAGGAAGUCCUCGUUUCUAGAACAGGUCUGUCUUCCGGCCUGUGGGUCCAUAGAAUCAUCACAGAAAAAGUGAUUUCAGGAGGUCUCCCCCGCUUUCUGCUCCCAAGGCCGUCUGACUGAGCCUCGGAGGAGAGAAGGAAGCCAUUUCUGGGAGGCCAAAACGUCCGUCUUCCAGGCUCUUGCUGUAAGUCAGCUCGCUUUUACAGAUGAGGAACCAAGAUCCUGGGAAGAUGGGAAGGCAGAGAAAAUCCAUCAAUUUGUACCCUACCCACCAUUUGGUGACUUUUCCAAGAAGCUGGGCUAAGUUCCAGGAAAAAGCUCUGCUAGAGUGCAAUAGCACCAUUUCUGCUCAUCGCAACCUCUACCUCCCAGGUUCAAGUGAUUCUCCUGCCUCAGCCUCCUGAAUAGCUGUGAUUACAGGCAUGUGCCACCACACCUGGCUAAUUUUG
RNAcentral lists this small RNA (564 nucleotides) under Pongo abelii (Sumatran orangutan). RNAcentral's name for it is "processed transcript". Lineage: Eukaryota; Metazoa; Chordata; Mammalia; Primates; Hominidae. The record is from RNAcentral.